CAGUAGCCGCGGGAAUACGAAGGGGGCUAGCGUUGUUCGGAAUUACUGGGCGUAAAGCGCACGUAGGCGGAUACUUAAGUCAGGGGUGAAAUCCCGGGGCUCAACCCCGGAACUGCCUUUGAUACUGGGUAUCUCGAGUCCGGAAGAGGUGAGUGGAAUUCCGAGUGUAGAGGUGAAAUUCGUAGAUAUUCGGAGGAACACCAGUGGCGAAGGCGGCUCACUGGUCCGGUACUGACGCUGAGGUGCGAAAGCGUGGGGAGCAAACAGGAUUAGAUACCCCAGUAGUCCCUGUCUCUUAUAC
Molecule: ribosomal RNA, 301 nt
Filed under: uncultured bacterium
Lineage: Bacteria
Description: partial 16S ribosomal RNA
Rfam family: Bacterial small subunit ribosomal RNA
Source: RNAcentral